Non-coding RNA from Schizosaccharomyces pombe (fission yeast), 763 nucleotides. The record is from the annotation of a GenBank genome assembly. NCBI's taxonomy places the organism in Eukaryota, Fungi, Ascomycota, Schizosaccharomycetes, Schizosaccharomycetales, Schizosaccharomycetaceae.
AGCAGUCUACCAGAAACAGUAUAACAAAGUAAAGACAUCCUUUGUAAACUUAUUUCAAGUUUUUUCCCAAAAACUGGCGCAGACGUCGGUUUACCAACUGUUUCUUCGUGAUAUCUUCCAUCAUUCAAAUCCUCAUCUAUACAGAUCACGUAAGAAAACUUUUGCGACGCAGAUACGACGCGUUUAAUAUACAGAUCGGACUUUGCAAAUGUCUCUUGCCAUCGGACAUCCAGUGGCCCAUCCGAUUUGGAAGGUUGAGAAAACGAGGUAUACAACACAACGGUGAAUUUAGGACCUAUUUGAAUCUCAGUAUGACUUUCUUCGAACCUCUUAUCAGACAAUUCCAAAAAACAUUGAGCUUGAAGGAGUCUGGAUGGCGAAAUAGUAUUGCUUAAAGCUGUGUUAAGGGUUAUGCCCGCCGUUGUCAAUGAUAGGUUAAUUAGAGGAAUAGUCUAUUACAGAUUAGUAAACAAUCAUUGACUUCAUGAAUUUACCUCCUCAAUUUCUCUUAGUAAUACUUCACAACGGCGGAAAAUUUUUUCCGAAGCUUCAUCCGCCUUUUCAGGGCUUUUCUUUUCUGAGCCAGAUGCUUCAUAAUCAAUAAACUCUAGAAAAUCAUCAAUAUGGUCUCGUAGCCUGAUGAUCAAGGGAACUAAAUUCUGAAGACUUGAAUUUCCACGCGCAGCACUAUUCCAAGUUAGUUUCAUCGACCAUAACGGACUACAGAAUUAAACAGUCAAUUGUUUUACGAAACAGUAGCUUG